This 496-nucleotide ribosomal RNA is filed under the name uncultured bacterium. RNAcentral describes it as "partial 16S ribosomal RNA". It matches the Rfam family "Bacterial small subunit ribosomal RNA", at positions 29 to 507 of the family's 1533-position model. The record is from RNAcentral.
AUGAACGCUGGCGGCGUGCCUAAUACAUGCAAGUCGCGCGAACAGACGAGGAGCUUGCUCCUCUGACGUUAGCGGCGGACGGGUGAGUAACACGUGGAUAACCUACCUAUAAGACUGGGAUAACUUCGGGAAACCGGAGCUAAUACCGGAUAAUAUAUUGAACCGCAUGGUUCAAUAGUGAAAGACGGUUUUGCUGUCACUUAUAGAUGGAUCCGCGCCGCAUUAGCUAGUUGGUAAGGUAACGGCUUACCAAGGCAACGAUGCGUAGCCGACCUGAGAGGGUGAUCGGCCACACUGGAACUGAGACACGGUCCAGACUCCUACGGGAGGCAGCAGUAGGGAAUCUUCCGCAAUGGGCGAAAGCCUGACGGAGCAACGCCGCGUGAGUGAUGAAGGUCUUCGGAUCGUAAAACUCUGUUAUCAGGGAAGAACAAAUGUGUAAGUAACUAUGCACGUCUUGACGGUACCUAAUCAGAAAGCCACGGCUAACUACGUG